UACGGAGGGUGCAAGCGUUAUCCGGAUUCACUGGGCGUAAAGCGCACGUAGGCGGACUCUUAAGUCGGUGGUGAAAUCCUGGAGCUCAACUCCAGAACUGCCUUUGAUACUGAGGAUCUUGAGUUCGGGAGAGGUGAGUGGAACUGCGAGUGUAGAGGUGAAAUUCGUAGAUAUUCGCAAGAACACCAGUGGCGAAGGCGGCUCACUGGCCCGAUACUGACGCUGAGGCACGAAAGCGUGGGGAGCAAACAGGG
Molecule: ribosomal RNA, 254 nt
Filed under: uncultured bacterium
Lineage: Bacteria
Description: partial 16S ribosomal RNA
Rfam family: Bacterial small subunit ribosomal RNA
Source: RNAcentral